CCUACGGGGGGCAGCAGUGGGGAAUAUUGCGCAAUGGGGGCAACCCUGACGCAGCCAUGCCGCGUGAAUGAAGAAGGCCUUCGGGUUGUAAAGUUCUUUCGGUAGCGAGGAAGGCAUUUAGUUUAAUAGACUAGGUGAUUGACGUUAACUACAGAAGAAGCACCGGCUAACUCCGUGCCAGCAGCCGCGGUAAUACGGAGGGUGCGAGCGUUAAUCGGAAUAACUGGGCGUAAAGGGCACGCAGGCGGUUAUUUAAGUGAGGUGUGAAAGCCCCGGGCUUAACCUGGGAAUUGCAUUUCAGACUGGGUAACUAGAGUACUUUAGGGAGGGGUAGAAUUCCACGUGUAGCGGUGAAAUGCGUAGAGAUGUGGAGGAAUACCGAAGGCGAAGGCAGCCCCUUGGGAAUGUACUGACGCUCAUGUGCGAAAGCGUGGGGAGCAAACAGGAUUAGAUACCCGUGUAGUC
This 465-nucleotide ribosomal RNA is filed under the name uncultured Haemophilus sp. RNAcentral's name for it is "bacterial SSU rRNA". It matches the Rfam family "Bacterial small subunit ribosomal RNA", at positions 338 to 795 of the family's 1533-position model. The record is from RNAcentral. Lineage: Bacteria; Pseudomonadati; Pseudomonadota; Gammaproteobacteria; Pasteurellales; Pasteurellaceae.